UUAUUACAUAUGCAUAACCAA
Molecule: non-coding RNA, 21 nt
Organism: Caenorhabditis elegans
Lineage: Eukaryota; Metazoa; Nematoda; Chromadorea; Rhabditida; Rhabditidae
Source: Ensembl